Ictidomys tridecemlineatus (thirteen-lined ground squirrel) is the source of this 72-nucleotide non-coding RNA. The record is from Rfam. NCBI's taxonomy places the organism in Eukaryota, Metazoa, Chordata, Mammalia, Rodentia, Sciuridae.
UGGGAUGUGACUUAGAGGUAGAGAGCUGGCCUGGCAUGCCUGAGGCCCUGGGUUCAAUCCCCAGCCACUUAA